Candida tropicalis MYA-3404 is the source of this 93-nucleotide transfer RNA. It matches the Rfam family "tRNA". From Rfam's summary of the family: Transfer RNA (tRNA) molecules are approximately 80 nucleotides in length. Their secondary structure includes four short double-helical elements and three loops (D, anti-codon, and T loops). Lineage: Eukaryota; Fungi; Ascomycota; Pichiomycetes; Serinales; Debaryomycetaceae. The record is from Rfam.
GGGUCAAUGGUGAAGAGGCUAUCAUGCUCCUUUAGGGACAUCAAUUAGCCUCUAAUUUAGGAGUGGUCCCGGGUUCGAAUCCCGGUUGACCCC